GUGUAUAGUGUGUUUAUACUGAACCCCGGAAGUGUAAACUACGUUAUUGAAUCCUGGAAGUGUACAGUGUGUUUAUACUGAACCCCGGACGGAAGUAUACACUGCGUUCUCAUUAAAUCCUGGAAGUGUAGACUGUGUUUAUACUGAACCCUGGAAGUAUACACUGCGUUAUCAUUGAACCCUGGAAGUAAGCACUGUGUUUACACUGAACCUCGGAAGUAUACACUGUGUCUACGCUGAACCUCGGAAGCAUAUACUGUGUCUACGCUGAACCUCGGAAGUAUACACUGUGUCUAGACUGAACCUCGGAAGUAUAUACUGCGCUCUCUUUGAAUCCUGGAAGUGUACAUUGUAUUUACAUUAAACCAGCUGGAAGUGUAGAAUUUGUUAAAUAAUAAAAGGAAAUCGCCUUUGAUGUCCAAGGAAAUAAAUGUUGAUCAAUCAAUCAAUCAAUAAAUGUGUGAACAUUGAUCCCUGAAAGUUUACACUACGUACAUAUUGAAUCCUGGAAGUGUAUAUAUUGAACCCUGAGAGUUCUGUACACUGUGUACAUAUGCCUGCUCCCCAUCCCGUGUACAGUGAACUGUACGAGAAGAAUUACUCGGCCUGGAUAAUGGAAACUAAUACUGAGGACAGUGUUGUAUCAGAGCUUGAACUAUUCUCUCAGUCUGUUGUUAACAUCACAAAACUAGGGUUCAGGACUAUAGCUCAGUAUAUUGAUAUAGACUACAUGUUAUGGAUGCGAUGGCUACUCUCUCCAGUUAUAAUUGCAUUUGUUAUUCUUCCCAGCAUAAUCCUGGCAUUUAUUUACAUAUCUUCUAUAAUCCUCUACAUAUACAGAGCUCAUAGAAACAGAUUAAUUAAUAGAAUUCAAGGAUAUGUGGAACAAGGUGAUUUCUGGACUGCUGGUAGAGAAAUUGUCGCUACUUUGUGGGACGCCCAUGCCUGGCUCUGGCAUGGGUAUGAGUUGAAAGGACUAGAAAACCUUCCUACAGACCAGGGAUGUAUGCUUCUGUAUUAUCAUGGCGCUAUACCUCUGGACUAUUAUUAUCUUGUUAACAGGAUUUUACUACUGAAGGGUAUACUAGUAAACUCUGUUGUGGAUAAAUUCCUGAUGAAACUCCCUGGAGUCAAGAUAAUCAUUGAUGUUUUUGGAUGCACUGCAGGAACUGUUGAAUCUCUAGCUGAUAUGAUGGUUGAGGGGAAAAUACUGGGAAUAUCUCCUGGUGGAGUUUAUGAAGCUCAGUUUGGAGAUCAUUAUUAUAAUGUGAUUUGGCGUGAAAGACUGGGGUUUGCUAAAGCUGCAAUACGGGCCAAGGCACCAGUAGUUCCUGUAUUUACUGUUAACAUCAGGGAAGCUUUCAGAACUUUCCCUUUUUUCCACAACUUCUGGCAUUGGAUCUUUAUGAAAACCAGACUUCCAUUCAGACCUCUGUUUGGUGGGUUCCCAGUAAAGUUGACAACCUAUAUAGGACCUCCUAUAUAUAUUAACGAUGAGACAACUCCUGAACAACUAAGAGAUCAGUGUAAGACUGCUCUUGAGACUAUGAUCGCUGAACAUCAAAGAAUUCCUGGACGUAUUCUACCAGCAAUACUUGAUAGAUUCUGGUGGAGAAAUAGAGAUCAUUCGGACUAAACAUAGAUCAAAUUUUCCACAGAUCAAUCAGAGAUCAAUAAUUUGUACUUCUUUUAAAAUAGAGAUCAGAGAUCAGUACUUCCGGAGAUCAUUCAGAUUAAAGCUAAGCUAUCAAAUGUUUCUUGGGUGUAUUCAAUUCUUAAAUUGAUAUUUUAUAUGUUAGAAGUUUCUAUUUACAAUUUCCAUGUAUGUCCGUCAACAUGGACUAUAUGUUAAUUUUGUGAUAUUUACAUUACCCAUUAUUACCUGGCAUUUACAAAAUAUGUUAUAUUAUUUUCCAAUUAAAUGUGAUUUAUACGUUAAACUUGAACCAUAGAAUAGUUAUAAGUCAGUAUUAGUGUUAACUUGCAUAAUAAAAAAUAAAAAC
This 2003-nucleotide unclassified non-coding RNA is filed under the name Eurytemora carolleeae. Its description in RNAcentral is "transmembrane protein 68". The record is from RNAcentral. Lineage: Eukaryota; Metazoa; Arthropoda; Copepoda; Calanoida; Temoridae.